GAAGAAUUUCUUUAACAUUUCUUAAGGUGCAUAUUUGUUGAUGAUGGAUUCCCUCAUCUUUUUUAUUAUAACAUCUUUAUUUUGUAACAUCUUUAUUUUGCUUUCUUUAUUGAGAGAUAAUUUUGUUCAGCAAAGAAUUCUAGAUUUUUUAAAUCUUACAAUUUUUUAAAUUUGAACUCAUUGUCUCUUGGCUUGCAUAAUUUCAGAAUUCCUCUCACUGUUAUUCUGUACCACUUUGUGCAUAUGUAUAUUUUUAUCUGACUUCUAUGAAUAUUAUUUUAACGUGUAAAUUAGUAUUUUAUUUUUCUCUUCAUCCUGGAUUUUUAACCACUUGUUUCAUGUGAAUUUUUAAAAUUUAUGCUGUUUAUGGCUUGUUGAGGUUUUGGAUGCAUAUAUUUAUAGUUCUCACCAAAUCUGUAGAAUUUUUUGGCCAUUAUAUAUUCACAGUUAGUUCUUUUCCUCAUCUCUUCCCAUCUACUUCUAAGAUACCAACUGCAUCUGUUAUAGAAUGCUUGAUAUCACUACACAGUAAUUAGGGUCUGUUCAUUUUUUUUAAGUUUCUGGCCUUGAUUUAGGACAGUUUCUUUUGCUAUGCAUUUACCUUAUCUUUUCUUCUGCAAUACUGUGAUGAUUAUCCAUUAUAUCUAGUGUAUUUUUAAUUUCAAUAUGGUAUUUUUUAUUCCCUAAGAUUUUAUUUGCAUCACUUUUAUACAUUUUCAUUUUCUUCUUAUGUUCAUAUUUUGUGUUACCUCUCUAGAUAUAUUUAUAAUAGCCGUUUUAAUAUCUUUUGUGCUAAUUUCAUUCUCUCUCUCACUUUUGAGUCUGUUUCUCUUUAUUAACCAACUCUUUGUAUGAGUAUAUUUUCCUGCUUAUAUGCAUGCCUGGUAAUUCUUGUUUGAAUGCCAGACAUUUUAAAUUUUAUGUUGCUCGUGCUGGAUUUUUUGCUAUUGUUGUCAUUCCUUCAAACAGUUUUAGACUUUGUCCUAUAAGGCAGUUAAGUUACUUAUUAUUAGUUUGAUCCUUUGAGUCUUGCUUUUAUGCUCGUUAGGGCAAACCAAGGGCAAUCUUCAGUUUAGAGCUAAUUUAUUCCCACUAACAAGGCAAUACCUUUGUGAGCACUCUGCCAAAUGACCCAUGUUUUACAAGGUCUUUCCGUUCUGGCUCUAAGAAAUAUAAAUGAUUCCCAGUUGUCUAUGAGCUCUAAGAAUUCCUCAGCAUACUAUUUUCCAGAGCUCUUUUUGCCUGUACACAAUUACAUUAUUUUUAUUUGUCCAUAGAUUGCUACUCAAUCAAUGACUCAAAGGGACUCUCUGAAAAUUUCCAGAGUUUUCUCUAUGAAAUUCCUUCUUCUCUCAACUCUGUUCCAAGAAUUCUAGCUACCUUAGCUUCCCUGUACAUCAAUCUCUAUUUCUUCAAUUAAGCAAGAACAACAGGCUCUUUUGGGGUUCUCCCACUCUAUCCUAUGGCCUAGAAACUCCAGGUAGUAAACUGGGACAACAUAGGGCUUCUAUCAUUUGUUCUUUAUUCCUUAGGGAUCACAGUCCUGCAUUGUCUAUUGUCCAAUGAAUAAAAAUUGCUGUUUCAUAUAUUUUGUCUGGCUUUCUCCUUUUUAAUCUGGAAAGGUAAACAUGAGUUAUAUUACUAUAUUAUGGCUGAAUGUGAAACUCCACAUAUUUUUUCUGAUAGCUAUAUGAUAGCUAUUUUUUUCUUUUUUUUUAAAGUUAUUCACCUCUGUGAGCCUCAGUUUUCUCUUUAAUAAAUUCAGAAUAAUAAUAAUCUUUAUUUCACGAGAUUAUUGUGAUAAAAGUGUAUAGCAUCGAACUACAUCUGUAGUAGGCACUAGGUAGGCAUUUCUUUCAAUUUACUUUGAUAAUCAAGAGACACAGUACAUCACUCUACUUACCAAAUCACUUCCUAUCCUGACAAAAGUCAGUUGAAGCAUAUUUUUUUUCCAUACCAAUGUCCUUGCCAGCCACAGCCUAAAGGGAUCUCUCCUUUCUCUGAAUUCUUUUAGCAAUUAUUGUCUGUAAAAUUUGUUCAGUAAUUAAUCAUAGGUGCCCUUUAAUAGCAUAGCUACUGUUGUCUAGAAAUGCUAUUUAAAUCCUCUAUUAGCAUAUCUCAAAAUGCUAUUUAAAGCCAUUAUUGUUGGAUAUUAUCUAUUGUUUGUAAGUCUCUCUACCCAACAAGACAAGUUUCUCUGAGGGUGUAUUACUCAUCAUAAAUGUGUUACUGUCUCUACAGUUCCUGAAUCAGUGCCCAGCACAUAAUAGGGGCAAAAUUAUUAAUUUAGUUUUAAUUAUAUGUGUUCAAAGGAGUUAUUUAUUCCUUCAUGUUUUCCCCUAACUUUUAUCUUUUUCUAAUCCCUUUCGGAGACUUAAAAUUCUAUCCCAGAAAUGGCAUCAUCUUAAUAACAUGGAAUUUAUACAUUGCUCCUGGUAUAGAAUCCCUCUCCCCUCUUCAGUCAUCUUUAAAUGAGCAGCCUCUGAUCUUGUGUCUCUAAGCCCCAUUCUUUGGCAUUAUUAAAAGAAAAGAAUGGGUGAGGAGAGGACCAUAAAGCCCAGGACAAUAAUACAUGAGAUAGCAGAUACCACUUAGAGGCAUGGCAGGUCCUCAUGGCUGAAGAGCCACAUCCAGUUUGACUCUGUUCCUUGUGUGGAGCAUGGGGCCUGGCCGUCUCUGUCCAUCCAAUCUAAGACUCUGAUCAAAGGGUCAUAACAUGAGGCAAAUAAAUCUCUGUGUUUGUGAUUUCUUGGUUAUGAUCAAAGAUAAAUCAUGUGCUCUGUGUGAGUUGUAGGAUUUAUUGUUCUGUUAAUAUUCAAGAGGGGUCUCACCCCCUACCAAACAAACAAACAAACAAACAAACAAACAAAAAACUGUUGUUGUCUCAUGAACUUGAAAUCUUAUUGAUAAGCCAAACACAGGAAAGUCAUUUACAGGACUCCUUGGAGGGGCAACUGGUAUCUGAUUUUGCUUUCUCUACCCUAUGACCAUGCAUCAUUUUCCCUUGAACUGGAAAUUUCCAAGGAGAAAUGACACUUUAAUGAAUGAUGGUGUGGAUUUAGAAACCUAUUUCAUCUCAGUGACUUCCACAGAAAUUGAAUGUUUGCUAGUCACAUGAUGACUGGUAUGACUGAAAACCCCUGCAAACCUGCUAGAAUCGGAAAAGUCCUCUGCAUUCUUAAGGCCUGACACAAAAUUCAGGUACUCAUGAUUAUAACCUGAUUACAGUUCUACAGCAGGUUAAUGAAGUUUAAAUAAUUAGAAUCUAUUGUCGUAAACUAUUAAAACUGGUUCUGGUCACUUCCUUUGAGGUGAGUAAUAGUGAGAGUGCUAUUCUUUCUUACCUCCUGGGAGCCUGAGGCACGAUGCAGAGAAGAACCUCACAUAUCAUGCAUCAUCAGAGGACUAGAGUGAACUCAGGAAAUAUUUGCUCUUGUCACAUUUUCUUCACCGGAGCUAGAGACUUUUUACUAGGAAAAACUGCGAAGUAGGCUGAAUAUCUCUAAUUUCACCUGGUCCGUAGAGGAUGCCCUUUCUUCUGCCUCAGAUACUCAAUACUUUCAUGUUCUUUUCCCCUGUCUCCCACAACUUAUGGUUCUAAAUGAGGAAAAGUCUUAAAAAGUAAUUCAUUCACAAAUUACUCAACUCUUCUCCUUAUCCUUUCCUUAACAUGGACAAAUCUUAACCAAAAAGAGUGAAUCUUUAAUGAGGUAUUUUCAGCAUUAGCAAAUAAAAAUUUAGGGUCACAGAGGCUUUCUCCUGGUUCAUAAUCCCAAACCACUACAACUACUCUUAGGCCACCAACAUUCUCAGGGUGAUCCCGCAGGGAUGCUUAAUGAGUGUUAGCCACUGCGGAGUUCUCUUCCAACAGGCACAAAAAAAGCCAAGCAAAAAUGGUCUGUUUCACACCAGCACAGCUAGCAGGGAACCCACUAUUUGAUAUCCUUCAUUCAGAGUAGCAUGGUUCCCCUGCUUAUGAGCAAAUCCUUGUUCUCUCGAGCCUCUCCUGAUCUUCUCCUUAAAUUCUUCCAUUUGCACGACGGCUGCUUUGUCCUUUCUUUGACCUCUUCUCUGGGAUAAAUGAACCAACACUGGGAUAGCUGCUUCCUGUGUGAGUCUGUCGGCUUCACAGGAGGAAGGGGAAAAGGCAGAGUGGUCUCUGGUUUCAUCCUUCUUAACGUCUAUUUUUCACCUCCAUUGACUCCCCAGCUCCCUCUGACUCCCGUGGGUGAGCCCUGAUUUCCCCCACUGUCAAUACCUGAAUCCAGCCUCCCUCUCCCCAGCCCCUUGACUUCCCCACUAACACACUGAACCCUUCAUGUUUCAGGAAGUUUGUGAGGGCAGUUGGCGAGGUGAAUUGUGCUCCCUGACAAGUAUGCAAAGCAUUCUGUGAUAUAGUGGAUCUGGAAGCCCCUAUUAUAGGAGAUUUACUAUUCUGUUCUAAGGUUGCACUCCAGGUUGAAAUUGGCUGACAAGGUCUUAGCUUGGGUAGGAUUUAUUCCCCAUAUAUUAAAUUAUUUUUUUAAUUAGUUCAAUGCCCAGGUCAUUUCUAAACCGAAGAAAUGUGAAAUAAAUAAGUUUCUGAAGUAAAAAAGAAAUAGGCCAGCAUUUGAGUGAGUUGUUAAGUUUAGACAAAAAUGUUUGUAGCCCCCAAGCCAUUAUAUAUUAACUUCUACACAUUGGCUUAAGCACCAAGGAGCCACAUACAACCUAGACCUUCACAAAUUAAUUCCUAUUGCUACUGGUCUCCUUGGCCUCUGCUUAUAGAGCAACUUUUUUUUUUUUUUUUUUUUUUUUUUUUUUUUAGGGAGGCAUAAAGUACGUGUAAAAUCUUUGGCAGGAAAGCAGAAAUUGGGCCUUUUCAGUUAAUCUGAAAUCUUUUCCGCAUCCCUGGUUCAGUGAGUACAUAAGCGUGGGAGAGGUGGAAGGAGGGUGUCUGUGCCUGGCAGAUUGUGGGGAGGAGGUAUUAUUGCCUGCGCGCGUGCACACACAGACACACACAGACACACACAAACCCCAGAUGGUAACUAGAUGAGGGAGAGAAGCCAACAACACCAGGAGUUAUUUUAGGAACAAAACUAGGAAUCUGCAUAUGGCUAGAUUUUUCAUCUCAAACGUUAUUCUUGCAUAUGACAAGCUCCUCGGUAGGGUCGAAGCCAGUCCAUUGAUCAAUUCAAACUAUUUUCCUAGAUCCUAAUUCUUUGGAGGUAGGAGGAAAGGGUGAGUGGUCCUUUUAGCAGACUUGAGAUAUUGCAGAUCUUCUAGUUAAGGCCCUGUCAUUUUCCCAGAACCCUCUUCUCUCAGGGUAUAUACACAAGGACCAGUAAUGGCAGAGAAUAGUUCAAAGUUAUAAGAUUGCAGGAAUUUAGCAGUUUCUUUAUGUCUCUGGUGGCUGAUUAACUGUGUUGGUUAUGGGAUACUGCUGGUGAGAAAAAAAAGUGUUUGUUCUACUUUGAAAUUAGCUUUGCAAAUGUUCCACACUUACAAACUGCACCUCAAACAAUGAUCAAUAGAUUCACAAUUUCAUACUGUUGGGGAAAAGACAAUAAAAAGGAAGAGUAUGAAUGGUAUAACACCCAUUCUUUACUACUCCUAUUACCACUAAACAAUCUCAAACACAACAAUGUGUAAAUGGCAAUUUAGUAAUAUCAUCCAUAUAUAUAUCAAUAAUAUUAUUAUGCAUGUGUAAAUGCAUAAAAGACUACCAUUUCCUUCCUUUUCUUUAGUUCUAUCUUUUUAAUUAAUCAGUCAAUCCAUUAAUCAAUAUCUCUUGAUGGCCACUAUGGGAGGAGUGCUGUGAGUUUCAGGAGUAAUCUUAGUUUUCAACAGUAUUUAUCUGAAAUGCAACGGAAAGCUUUUUUUCAUUAUUUCACACUGUUGCUGGAAAGACUUUGAUGCUUCUGUGACUUGGAGAGAGAGUUUCAAACCAAGAAUUUUUUUUUUCUCUUCCAGCAUGAGGUAAAAUGCCACCAAAAUAAUGUGCCAAGCUCUGGGCCAAGCUCUGGGUAUACAAAAGCAAUGAAGACACAGUCACCGAUCUCAAAGAGCUCACAGUCUAGAGAUGAAGACAGCACAUAAAUAGUAAUUACAAGGUGUUGUAUUAAGUGGUUUAUCAGAUGCAUAUAUUAGAUUUCAUGUUAUAAGAACACAAGAGAGUGAGUCAUGAAUCAGAGUGAGGAAUAUGGUAAUGAUCCCUGCCCGAUUUUAUGUUUUCAGAAGUAGGGUGAGCUUGGUGCUUGCAUAAUUAAAUUCUCAUUGCCCUUAUAGAAAAUUUUGGGAUGGCAUGGUAGGCACAAGGCUUUGCAGAGCUUUUAUAAAGACGGUGUAGCAUGCAUCUGUUGCUUUAUUCAG
RNAcentral lists this long non-coding RNA (6351 nucleotides) under Homo sapiens (human). RNAcentral describes it as "HSALNT0016744". The record is from RNAcentral. Lineage: Eukaryota; Metazoa; Chordata; Mammalia; Primates; Hominidae.